RNAcentral lists this ribosomal RNA (450 nucleotides) under uncultured bacterium. RNAcentral's name for it is "partial 16S ribosomal RNA". It matches the Rfam family "Bacterial small subunit ribosomal RNA", at positions 354 to 796 of the family's 1533-position model. The record is from RNAcentral.
GUGGGGAAUAUUGGACAAUGGGCGAAAGCCUGAUCCAGCCAUGCCGCGUGUGUGAAGAAGGUCUUCGGAUUGUAAAGCACUUUAAGUUGGGAGGAAGGGCAGUAAGUUAAUACCUUGCUGUUUUGACGUUACCGACAGAAUAAGCACCGGCUAACUUCGUGCCAGCAGCCGCGGUAAUACGAAGGGUGCAAGCGUUAAUCGGAAUUACUGGGCGUAAAGCGCGCGUAAGUGGUUUUGUAAGUUGGAGGUGAAAUCCCCGGGCUCAACCUGGGAACUGCCUCCAAAACUGCAUGACUAGAGUACGGUAGAGGGUAGUGGAAUUUCCUGAGUAGCGGUGAAAUGCGUAGAUAUAGGAAGGAACACCAGUGGCGAAGGCGACUACCUGGACUGAUACUGACACUGAGGUGCGAAAGCGUGGGGAGCAAACAGGAUUAGAAACCCGGGUAGUCC